GGGAGCCCUCUGUUCUCAGCCAGCAGCAAAGCAGUCAUGCAGAGACUCUAGGUCACCAUAAACAUGCUUGCCUCUCUCCCUCAUUUGAAGGUAGAAUCAGGUUCCUAACCUUACUAUCUUUAAGGUCAAUCCCAAGCCCAUCACACUCUUGGCUCUCAUUUAAUGCUGGCUCAACAACUGUAUGAGUCAAGCAGUUGGCCUAGAGAAUUUAUUCCUCCUCUCUCUGUGCUUAAAUCAGAAGUGUCCUCAGACACCAGCCCAAACACGUUAUUAAAAUGGGGAAACUGAGGACCAGAGAGGGAUAAUGGCCUGCAUAAAAUCUCCCAUAAUUAGUAGAGAUUAUAAAUUAGUACUAUGCUAAUAAUAUCUUGUCUUUUAUAACACAUGGACUUCUAAAGGACUUUUUUUUUUAUUGAUGAUUUUUAUUUUUUUUCCAUUAUAGCUGGUUUACAGUGUUCUGUCAAUUUUCUACUAUACAGCAAGGUGACCCAGUCGCACAUACACAUAUACAUUCCUUUUUUCUCACAUUAUCAUGCUCCAUCAUAAGUGACUAGACAUAGUUCCCAGUGCUAUACAGCAGGGUCUCAUUGCUUAUCCAUUCCAAAGGCAAUAGUUUGUAUUUAUUAACCCCAAAUUCCCAGUUAAAGGACUUAUUUAAAUGGAAGAUCCAAUAAGAAUUUCCUCUUUGGGAGUUCCCGUUGUGACUCAGUGGAUUAAGAAAAUGACACAGUAUCUGUCAGGACGUGGGUUCUAUCCUUGGCCUCACUCAGGGGAUUAGGAUCCGGCGUUGCCUCAAGCUGCAGUGUAGGUCACAGAUGUAGCUCAGAUCUGGUUUUGCUGUUGCUGCGGUGUAGACCUCAGCUCCAGCUCUGUUUCAACCCCUAACCUAGGAACUUCCAUAUGCAGCAAGUAUAGCCAUAAAACAGAAAAAAAAAUUCCCCCUGAACUCUCUCUGUGAUUACCUUUUUAUCAGUGAGUUCUCCUAAGAUCACCAUAUUUAAAAUAACACUCCCUGCUCUCCACACUCCCCGCCUCCUUCCUCACACCUGGCAUUCCUUACCUCCCUCCCCUUACCCACUCUACUCUGUUUUUCUCACUAGCACUUAUUAUUAUCCAAUAGUCCAGACACUACAUGUGUUUAUAUUUCUUUGGUUAACCCCAGCCCCCAAGAAAGUGAUAUCCACAAGAAUGGAGGCUUUGGCCAUUUUAAUCAGUUCUAUCUCUAUUACUUAUAACAUGCUUGGUACAUAGCAGGCAUUCACUACACAUUUGAAGAAAUUAAAUUACUUGUCUAGAAGGCAGACCAUUCCUUGAGAACCUUAGUCAGUUAUGAUUUAGUUCUUUCCAUGAAGACAUGAUUAUGCCACGAUUACCAACUGACUCCUAGAGAGGCGGGAGGCAGUGACCAAGCACCCUCCAGCUACAGGUGUCAAGAUGCACCAGGACCCAGUCCAACCAGGAUCUGUGCCGUGGAACAGAAUCAGCCCAAACAUGAGACGCAGUCUAAUUUUGUUUGCAUGUCUGUCUCUCCUAUUUGGCUGAGAGAACCAUGAGCAUAUGUUGUCCUUGCUAAUACCCUAGCCCGUAUUACAGGUCCUGGAAAACUCCUGAUCAAAAUGGGCAGGUAGAACCCCCACAGAGCUAGAAAUGCUAAUACCAGUGCUGAAUGAAAUGGUAGCCACAUGCCACAUGGGGUUAAUAAGCACUUGAAGAAUGACCAUGCAACUUAUGAGUUGAAUUCUUACUUUUAUUGAAUUUACAAUAGUUUUAAGUGUGAAUAACCACAUGUGACUAAGGCUACUACUGUAUUCAGUGGCUCUAGAUUUUAAAUAUGUCUACUGAAUGAAUAUUGACGACUGAUUUAGUUGAAAAAGUCAUUGUCUAUAAGGUAAAAACUUCAGUAAUCUGAAGCACCUGAGCGAAAGAAAUUAGUCGAAUGUGGAAAUUGUCAAUUAGUUAAAAUAAUUGCUUUUUGCCAGUUCCAAGCCUAUGUACUUGAUCCCUUGAUCCCUUUCUUUCUGGUGUAAUCAGCACACAGGAGUCAAAAUUAUUUUUGUAUCGAUCAAUGUUAUACAGCGAGAUAUUUCUCAUGGCUUUGUACAUUCUUCUGGAUUAUGAUUAUGAAUAUUGCACUUUUCGAAUGUACCAUUUUCAUCACUCAGUUGUAUUUUAGUAGAUGUACAUGUUGAUUUCAGGGGGCUUUUUUGGCUAAUAUAAACAAGAGUGUAAUCCAUAUACUUUCCAUAAAUCUUGGUGGACACCUUUGUUUAUUUUGGCUGAAAUAAUACUAGUGGAGAAACACCUUCAAAAAUUUAGAAACAUCAUUUUGAUAAUAUCUUCUACAACCUCCUCUGAUAAACUCAUCAAAAGGGCUUGUCAAGGACAAUCCUCGAUUGAUGGUUCCUGUGUGCAGUUGGCCUUGCACACUAUUGCAGUAACCCUUCUUAGCACUGUCCCUUCCGUUUUACAUUCUGUCCCCAUGCCUGAGGCUGAAUUAAUGCCACACUGCUAUAAGGAAAUCUAAAACUUCAUGGGCUUAAAUAGGAUGGAGGCGUAUUUCCUUCUCAUAUAAAACUCUGCUAUCCUGUACAUGUGGCUCUAAGGUUGCUCUAAUCAUAGGCAGCUACCCAAAUCAGAGACAGCAGAAAGGGAGAGAAAACCCAGGGUAAGCAUUCCUAGGAGAUGAUCUGAAAGUUGCUGACAUCACUUCUGCUUUCUUUUCGCUGGCCUGAAAUCAGUCUAUUGUCACACCUGACAACAAGGUCAAGUCCUGUGAAUCAUAGGCCCUUAACAUGGUUGGUUAGACCUCAGAUCUGUCCACUUAUCUCUAUCCCCACUGCCAUGGCCUUCUUUCUAGCCCUCAUCAUCUCUUACUUACAUUAGUUUAACACCUUCUAAUUGGCCCUUAUUUUCCAUCUUUUCCUCGUCUGAUCCAUCUUUCCACCUUCGGCAUAGGUAGCCAGACUGAUCUUUUUGAAAUACAAAUCUAAUCACAUCAUUCUGCCUAAAAUUUUAAAUGAUGAAACACUGACUUCAGAGAAAAGAAAUUUCAACAGCCAAACACCUAAUGACAUCCAAGGCCUUUCUUUUUGGCCCUCCCUCGUUCUCCAGCCUUGUAAUGCUCAAAUGUCUGGGGGGUGCAGCCAUGUUGGCACACAUUUGGUCUUUUAAGGGUGGAAGAAAUGGGAGCUAAAAGCUAAGCCUUUGACAGCUAACUUCUCUGGGAUAUGAAGUGAGAAAACACAUGUGUUUUCUAUCACGCUAACAAAGUUCAGCAUUUGUCCUCUCUUCAAACAAAUGUGGAAACUACCUGUUUGAGGCCUAUGGUUUCCCAAGGCUUCUAGAAACCAAGCUCUUUACUCUGCAGGACUUCUUGGGAUUUUCGGGAUUAUCUGUUGGGAGCUAUGUGUCCCAUCAGAGUUCCGUCCUGAGUUCAGUCUGCAGAGCUGACCUGUCCUGUGAUGUGUCCAUGUGGAAAGCAGAGCAGGGUCUUAUAUAUAUAUUGAUUUUUUUUUUACAUACAGGUCUCUGGUAUUAUUUCAAGCAAAUGAAAGUUCCAAGAGGUUGAUGCUGGCGAUACCUCUUACUGCUAACUUCAAUGAUUCUGGGUGAAUAACUUCCUUUCUGGGCCUCUACUUUCCCAUCUGUAAAAUGAGGAUGUUGAACUAGGAUGAUGCCAAAAGUCUAUUUCAGCAAUGUGAUGAGAUUAAUUCACUCAUUCGAUACUUAUUUUUGAGCCCCCACUAUGUGCUCAGGACUAUUAUAUGUGAUGAGAAUAUUGUGUUGAAAAAGAUGGACAAAAAUCUUCUCUAAUGAAGAUUAUAUCCUAUUUUGCAGUCAAGUGGUCAAACACACAUACAUAAAGACAAACACAGAACCAGUUAGACAGUGACGGCUGCUAGGGAGAUGAUUAUGAAGGAUGGUGUGAUGAACACGACAGCCUGUCUCUGAGUGACAUUCAGACUAAGACGCAGACAUGCCAAAUCAGGCAGUAAGUGUUCCAUGAAAGAAACCAUCAAGAGCACUGAACUUCAUGUGCUUAAUGAAAUGAAAGAGACCUAGAGGGAGAGGUGAAGUUUGAAAGUGGUCCUAGAGGAGAGGCAGAAGUUGCUCUGGGGCCAGAUUGUGUAGGAUGUUUAUACCAGAAGAGAUAUAUUCCAAGUAUUUGUGAAAGUCCCUGGAGAACUUUAAGCUUGGGAUAGAAAGAUCUUUAUUUAAGUACUGAAAAUACCAUUCUUGGAAUUAUAUGGAGUAUGGGUUAUGAAGGGUUAGGAGUAGAAGGUACCUUUACUUAGGAGGUUAUUAUAGAACUCUGCAAGAGAGACAUAGGGGCAUGGAUCAGAAAGGUAGCAGUUAAUGGAGAAAAGUGAAUGAAUAUGAAACAUGCUCAUGGAGGGUUUGCAGAGAACGAGUGAAAGAAAAGUCAAGGAUAUCACCUAGAUAUGGUGGGAUCAUUUUCUGCAAUUAUAAAGACUAGGUUUAAGAGAAUAAAAUAGUUUUUGUUUUGUUUUGGGUUUUGGAACAUGUACACUUUGAGAUACCCAUUACACCUGUAAGUAUAGAUGUCAUGUAAGCAAUUGAGAAAGGUCAUUGCUGGAGAUGUAACUUUGAAAGCCAUUAGCAAAUGGAUAAUUUUGAAAGCUGUGAAAUCAUCUCAUCUCAUAUAGAUGAGAUCAUCUAGGGAGAGAGUUUAGACAGAGAAGGGAACAGGUCUUCUAGCACUGGGGUAUUCCUUCAUUUAAAGAUUUGGUGGAGGAGAAUAACCAAAUGAAAGAUGCUGACAAAGAGCAAAGAAUGAAGUAGGAAAACAAUUAGGAAAGAGUUGUUUCACUAAGCAAGCAAGAAAAGUGUUUCAAAAAUAGGUUUGUUCAGGAGUUUCUGCCAUGGCAUAGUGGAAACCAAUCUGACUAGUAUCCAUGAGGAUGCAGGUUUGAUCCCUGGCCUCCCUCAGUGGGUUAAGGAGCUGGCAUUGCCACAAGCUGUGUUGUGGGUUGCAGAUACAGCUCGAAUUUUUGACAUUCCUGUGGCUGUGGUAUGGGCUGGUGGCUACACCUCCAAUUCUAUGCUGUGGGUGCAGCCCUAAAAAGACAAAAAAAAAAAAAAA
This 5104-nucleotide long non-coding RNA is filed under the name Sus scrofa (pig). RNAcentral's name for it is "lncRNA (ENSSSCG00040011713.1)". Lineage: Eukaryota; Metazoa; Chordata; Mammalia; Artiodactyla; Suidae. The record is from RNAcentral.